UACAGCAUGGUAUCGUCUACUCAGGA
This 26-nucleotide non-coding RNA is filed under the name Macaca fascicularis (crab-eating macaque). The record is from RNAcentral. RNAcentral also lists the same sequence under 1 other name. Lineage: Eukaryota; Metazoa; Chordata; Mammalia; Primates; Cercopithecidae.